UGAAGGGGUUAAAAUAGUGAAGACUGUGGCCAUUAAUCUUGUGACCCUUCCUAAUGUCAAUAAAAUGGUCUAAUGGUACACAAAACUCAAGGUAAAAAUGUGUCCCAGUACUGAAGGGGUUCAACACUCAAAUAAACAUGAAUCAGCUGACAUAAGACUUGACACAGACAAAAUAAAGCAUUCUACACAUUUACAACACCAGAAUAAAUAGAUAAAUGAAUAGAUAAACUUAAAAACCACAUUGUAACCACAUUUUUAUACGUUUAAACACAAAAAUAAACUGGAAUCAGCUGACAUGACGCUGCCCAGACCGAGACCUCUCCCUUCCCUUGCCUUCCCUCGCCGCCUCCCCGCCACAGCCCCGCCAUCUGUUUUAUCCACUUAUCUGCCUCUCCACACACCUGCCAGCGUCACCACAGCGGGUAUAGAGGCGCAGGUGUGUGGUGCAGGUGUGGGCGCACUGUACAGAGUGCGUGAUGUCCCAGGAGGUUGGGGGUGGAGGGCUGAGGAGGGAGGCAUUCUGGUCCUUCAGGAGGUGCUGGCCGGAACACUGUGGGACUAACGUGAAUGACCGCCCCCCACCUGUCCAGCCUCCAUUUGGUUACCUCCAUAUUUCUCCUCCAUGUCUCCUCCACCUUUCCUCCAAUUUUGACUAUCUCAUCUCCUUUCCUUCAUAGUUAAAAUAGUCUUUUUGUAAGAUCAACUUUUUCCUCUCCACAGCCUCCAGUUCUUUCCUCCAUAUCUCCCUCCACAGGUUACCUCCACAUUUCUCCUCCACCCCAGUCCUUCCUCCAUGUCUCCUCCACCUUCCCUCCAAUUUUGACUAUCCCAGCUCCUUUCCUUCAUAGUUAAAAUAGUCAAUUUGUAAGAAUAAAACCAGGGUGUGAUCUGAGGGACACAUUUUUAUUGAGGGGUGUAUUCUAAGCAGGAGUUAUGAAUUAAAGAACCUUCAGUGUUAUAGAGGCAAACACACUAACAGACAACCGGAGGGGUGCAGGAGGGGAGAGAGAGAGAGAGAGAGAGAGAGAGAGAGAGAGAGAGAGAGAGAGAGAGAGA
Molecule: long non-coding RNA, 1056 nt
Organism: Portunus trituberculatus (swimming crab)
Lineage: Eukaryota; Metazoa; Arthropoda; Malacostraca; Decapoda; Portunidae
Exons: 2
Source: RefSeq, a predicted model, not a curated record